AGGGGUUUGCCUAGUACGGCGAGUGAAGCGGCAACAGCUCAAAUUUGAAAGCUAGCCUUCGGGUUCGCAUUGUAAUUUGUAGAGGAUGAUUUGGGGAAGCCGCCUGUCUAAGUUCCUUGGAACAGGACGUCAUAGAGGGUGAGAAUCCCGUAUGUGACAGGAAAUGGCACCCUAUGUAAAUCUCCUUCGACGAGUCGAGUUGUUUGGGAAUGCAGCUCUAAAUGGGAGGUAAAUUUCUUCUAAAGCUAAAUAUUGGCGAGAGACCGAUAGCGCACAAGUAGAGUGAUCGAAAGAUGAAAAGCACUUUGGAAAGAGAGUUAAAAAGCACGUGAAAUUGUUGAAAGGGAAGCGCUUGCAAUCAGACUUGUUUAAACUGUUCGGCCGGUCUUCUGACCGGUUUACUCAGUUUGGACAGGCCAGCAUCAGUUUCGGCGGCCGGAUAAAGGCUCUGGGAAUGUGGCCUCCACUUCGGUGGAGGUGUUAUAGCCCAGGGUGUAAUACGGCCAGCCGGGACUGAGGUCCGCGCUUCGGCUAGGAUGCUGGCGUAAUGGUUGUAAGCGACCCGUCUUGAAACACGGACCAA
Molecule: ribosomal RNA, 583 nt
Filed under: Aureobasidium pullulans
Lineage: Eukaryota; Fungi; Ascomycota; Dothideomycetes; Dothideales; Saccotheciaceae
Description: partial large subunit ribosomal RNA
Rfam family: Eukaryotic large subunit ribosomal RNA
Source: RNAcentral